RNAcentral lists this ribosomal RNA (309 nucleotides) under uncultured archaeon. RNAcentral's name for it is "bacterial SSU rRNA". It matches the Rfam family "Archaeal small subunit ribosomal RNA", at positions 526 to 834 of the family's 1478-position model. The record is from RNAcentral.
CAGCCAGACAGGUCCGUCGGGAAAUCCACUCGCUCAACGAGUGGGCGUCCGGCGGAAACCAGCUGGCUUGGGGCCGGAAGACCUGAGGGGUACGUCCGGGGUAGGAGUGAAAUCCCGUAAUCCUGGACGGACCACCGGUGGCGAAAGCGCCUCAGGAAGACGGACCCGACGGUGAGGGACGAAAGCUAGGGUCACGAACCGGAUUAGAUACCCGGGUAGUCCUAGCUGUAAACGAUGCUCGCUAAGUAUGGCACACACUACGAGUGUGUGCUGUGCUGUAGUGAAGACGAGAAGCGAGCCGCCUGGGAA